RNAcentral lists this ribosomal RNA (265 nucleotides) under uncultured bacterium. Its description in RNAcentral is "partial 16S ribosomal RNA". It matches the Rfam family "Bacterial small subunit ribosomal RNA", at positions 524 to 790 of the family's 1533-position model. The record is from RNAcentral.
UACGGAGGGAGCUAGCGUUGUUCGGAAUUACUGGGCGUAAAGCGCACGUAGGCGGCUUUGUAAGUUAGAGGUGAAAGCCCGGGGCUCAACCCCGGAAUUGCCUUUAAGACUGCAUCGCUUGAAUCCAGGAGAGGUGAGUGGAAUUCCGAGUGUAGAGGUGAAAUUCGUAGAUAUCGGUAAGAACACCAGUGGCGAAGGCGGCUCACUGGACUGGUAUUGACGCUGAGGUGCGAAAGCGUGGGAGCAACAGGAUUAGAACCCGAGG